Molecule: long non-coding RNA, 367 nt
Organism: Heterocephalus glaber (naked mole-rat)
Lineage: Eukaryota; Metazoa; Chordata; Mammalia; Rodentia; Bathyergidae
Source: Ensembl
GAGAAGCAGAAACUCAUUCAGAAAUAUAAGGAGGCAAUGAGCAACAAGACAUGCAGGCUGGACUGUCCAAGGUCAAGGUGCUAGCAAGGCGAGAAAACUGAGUUUGCUAUUUCAUCUACACCAGAUAAAUGGUAAUCUGUGGAGGCAGAAUUGCUAGACCAUCAGUAUGCAGAUGAUGAACAAAUAAGUUGAGGGGAAACAUUCUACAAGGUUUAACUAUUGAAUCAAAAGUCCAUCCACUGUGGGAUGAAUCACAGCGGAGAGUGAUCAGAUAAGACCAGUGACCAAUAUUGGAAAAAACAGGUGGGAAGAUUGCUCAAUAAAAGGAAAAACAUCUUAUACUGAAGGUUAUUAUAAAAUGAAAUUG